This 813-nucleotide long non-coding RNA is filed under the name Homo sapiens (human). RNAcentral's name for it is "ZNF529 antisense RNA 1, transcript variant 10 (ZNF529-AS1)". The record is from RNAcentral. Lineage: Eukaryota; Metazoa; Chordata; Mammalia; Primates; Hominidae.
AAACGUAGUCCAACAACGAAAGAGCCCUGAAGCUCAAGCGGAGCCCGCUGGCCGCAGGGGCCGCACCACGCCCCAGACCCUGGAGUUUCCGGGUGCGCAGACCCUUGCCAUCAGCAGAGGCUGCCGCUGCGCGUCCCCUAGGCGCGGAAGAGGCGGCUGGUGGUCCCUGACGGCAAGGUUUUAUACAUUACGAAUAAAGCUGGCACGUUUCCAUUUCUCCUGGGCAAAUAUUUAGAAGAAAAGUUGCUGGGUAAUUGGUGGAGACAAGGUUUCGCCACAUUGACUGGGCUGGUCUGGAACUCCUGAGCUCAAGCAACCGGCCCUCCUUGACCUCCCAAAGUGCUAGGAUUACAGGUGUGAACCACCGUGCCCGGCCCUACUUUCUAUCGAAGUAGAAUAGAGUCACCCAGGCUGGAAUGCAGUGGCAUUGUCAUGGCUCACCGCAGUCUCAAACUCCUGGGCCCAAGUGAUCCUCCCACUCAGCCUCCUGAGUAGCUGGGACUAGAGGCACAUGCAACCACAUGCAGCUAUUUUUUUUUAAAUUUUCUGUAGAGACAGGGUCUCACUGUGUUGCUCAGUUUGUCUCAAACUCCUGGGCUCAAGUGAUCCUCCUGCCUUGGCCUCACAAAGUACUAGGAUUACAGGCAUGAGUCACCACACUCAGCUGAACUCUACUCUUUAUGUUCAGGAAAGCACUGGAGAAGAGAGAGGACAAGAGAAACAGGUCCGUAGUGACAGGAGCCUAGGAAUAGAGCAGGCCUUCAGUCUUGGUGAAAAAAUAAAUGGUAUUCUAAGCCUUCCUUUGGACAUUAA